This 491-nucleotide ribosomal RNA is filed under the name uncultured bacterium. RNAcentral's name for it is "partial 16S ribosomal RNA". It matches the Rfam family "Bacterial small subunit ribosomal RNA", at positions 29 to 507 of the family's 1533-position model. The record is from RNAcentral.
AGUGAACGCUGGCGGUAGGCCUAACACAUGCAAGUCGAACGGCAGCACAGUAAGAGCUUGCUCUUACGGGUGGCGAGUGGCGGACGGGUGAGGAAUACAUCGGAAUCUACUUUUUCGUGGGGAUAACGUAGGGAAACUUACGCUAAUACCGCAUACGACCUACGGGUGAAAGCAGGGGAUCUUCGGACCUUGCGCGGUUGCAUGAGCCGAUGUCGGAUUAGCUAGUUGGCGGGGUAAAGGCCCACCAAGGCGACGAUCCGUAGCUGGUCUGAGAGGAUGAUCAGCCACACUGGAACUGAGACACGGUCCAGACUCCUACGGGAGGCAGCAGUGGGGAAUAUUGGACAAUGGGCGCAAGCCUGAUCCAGCCAUACCGCGUGGGUGAAGAAGGCCUUCGGGUUGUAAAGCCCUUUUGUUGGGAAAGAAAAGCAGCAGGUUAAUACCCCGCUGUUCUGACGGUACCCAAAGAAUAAGCACCGGCUAACUUCGUG